Molecule: long non-coding RNA, 4605 nt
Organism: Populus trichocarpa (black cottonwood)
Lineage: Eukaryota; Viridiplantae; Streptophyta; Magnoliopsida; Malpighiales; Salicaceae
Exons: 3
Source: RefSeq, a predicted model, not a curated record
CCAACUAAUAAAUAAGAUUAGGCUAUUUUCCAUAACUGAAGAUCAUGCGUGUGUGAACAAUAACUUGGGCAUAGUAUGGUGUCCCUGCCAUAUAUUCGCUGGAGAAGGAAAUGAAUCAAAGAAGAUGCAUGUGCGCUAGAUCUAAAACCAAAACAUGUCACAAUGAACAACUAAGUUGUUAAGGAGUUGAAGCAGCAUCAGCACAUUUGUCACAGAACAACAGUAAUAUCACCGGUAGGAAGCGGUGGGAUUAUGAUUUCACCCUAUCAUAUAUAUAGAAAAGAACUUGGAGAACGUCAGGAAAAGUUCUAUAAACUGUGUUUGUUUUCGGGGUGGAUUUCACGUUUGCGGUGAACCACAAUUAAUAAUUGUUUGGUUCUGAAUAAAGUUGAGUUUUGUGAAGCGGGUCCCAUAUAAAAUUUGAGUUGAAAACGCAGUUCAUUGCACAGCAGUGUAUACAUGGUUUUUUAGUUGGGUUCUUAAAUAUUCUUUAAUGUUUGCCCAGGGUUACCAUAAAAGUCUCUGCUGCCCUGCUCGUCUCCUUUAUCGUUUCUAAAGAAAGGCAAAAAAUAACCUCAUUCUUUCCAUGAGAAACCAGUCUGCAGAAACCUCCUACAAGAUCUGGAUCUAUAGAGAAACCAAAGCAACUAGAUCUACACAGUAUCCUCCAAACUCUUCCAUAAUCACAACACAAGCCUGCAGAAAAGGCACUGAACACCAACAUUUUGUUCAACGUUAAUUACAUCCACAACGACAACAUCAAACUUCUUCCUUAUUUCAGCACUUUUGGAUGAAAGAUGCAAAAAGGAGUAAAUUGGAGGCAAUUGGCAGAUUUGAUGUUCAGUCGAUGUUUUAUGCAAAGCGUGAGUUCUAAAGGUCGAAAUGAAGUGAUUCUAAUUUUUUUGGAUUCCUGACUUAAAGACCUAUCAACGCUCCAAAUUUCAGUAACAAACGAUGUCAUAUAAGAGAUAUAUGAGUUUUCAAAGAUGACAACUAAAUUCUGCCAGCAAACAGGUUUUUGAAGAAACGAAUCCAAAUUACAUCCCGAAGCAUCCAAACUGACAUCCAAGUUUUUAUUUUAGCAAUUUAGCUCCUCUAGUAAAUCAAUCCAGAAAGUAAAGGAAGGCAACCACCAACCUCAAACCACCAACCACUAGCUACCAGCCACCAGCUGUCAGCUGCCUUCACACUACCACCAUCUAUUGAUGUUCACACUUGAACUUUGAUUUUUCUUACUUACAAUUUGUGUAUAAAUAGGCAGCUAAGUUUAUGCUAUUGAGGGAGAGAGGGAAAGAGAGUGCAGUAGAACAAAAGAAAGAAGGGUGGCAGCCAUAAGAGAAGAAACACAAACUCUCCCCUCUACAAACCAGAAAUCAUGAUUUCUUCCAUCUUUAGGAGUAAUUGUUCAAUAGAUAUGCAAAGCUAAACUUGUUUUCUUGAUUGCAAGGACAUGAAAACCUUCAGAUUUUAAGAACUGUGAGAUUUAUUCUUCCAUUUAUUUUCAGUUUGUAUUAUGAAUGAGUAUGCUUGUUUUCCUAUGCAUAUUUCCUAUUAUUGUUUAUCUUAAUUGUUAGAGCGGACUUUAAGUUAUUAUUGUGAACAAUCUAUUACUAAGUUUGAUAAUUGUGGCGGAACUACGUUAUUAAACUUAGGGAGAACAUUCGAUUAAAGCAACACAAGUUGCGGACAGCUUGGUUAUUAAGAUUAAUGAAUUUAUCUAGAUCUUAAGGCUACCAUUGGAUUAAAUCAUUAGUGCGAACACUGUGAUUUUUUAUUGGUUAUGAUUAGUUUUACAGCGGAUUUGUUAACUAAUCAACAUUAAGAAAAGAUAAAAAAAAUUCAGAAUAUAAACUGGAGAUUCAUUUCAAGGAUCUGUUCUGAUUUUUGUAGGUGGAUGUGUGCUUGCGACCAAGGUUUGUUUUCUUGAUAAAUUUCAGUUUUAAUUGACUUUGUUUGCUAGUUUAAUUUUUGCUAUAGUUUCAAUCAUUACAAAUCAAACCCUCCAAUUGCAUAACGUAUAGCAUAAAAAUCUGGACUAAAUCUUUCUCGUGGGAUCAACUCUUUGCUUGCUUUAUACUAUCUUGUGUGUUUCAAGAUAGGGUAAUUAAUUUGUGCGACCGCGACAUCGCAAUAAAUUUUGGCACCGUUGGACACUGUGAUCCCCGGCAACGGCGCCAAAAUUUGUUGCGAUGUCGCGGUCGCACAAAUUAAUUACCCUAGCUUAAAACACACAAGAUAGUAUAGAGCAAGCAAGUGGUCGAUCCCACAAGGAAGGUUUAGUUCAGAUUUUUAUGUUAUACGUUAUGCAAUUGGUGGGGUUGAUUUAUAAUGAUUUAAACUAUAGCAGAAAUUAAACUAGCAAACAAAAUCAAUUGAAAUUGAAAUUUAUCAAGAAAACAAACCUUGGUCGCAAGCACACAUCCACCUACAGAAAUCAGAACUGAUCCUUUAAACGAAACUCCAGUUUAUAUUCUGAAUUUUUUUAUCUUUUCUUAAUGUUGAUUAGUUAACAAAUACGCUGUAAAACUAAUCUUAACUAAUAAACAAUCACAGUGUCCGCACUAAUGAUUUAAUCAAAUGGCAGCUUUAAAAUCUAGAUAAAUUCAUUAAUCUUAACAACCAAGUUGUCCACAGCUUGUGUUGCUUUAAUCGAAUGUUCUCCCUAAGUUUAAUAACGUAAUUCCGCCACAAUUAUCAAGUUUAGUUGCUUCACAAGUUUAUAUACCAUAACUUCAGUUUUGAUAUCAAACUUAGCAAUAGAUUGUUCAUAAUAAUAACUUAGAGUCCGCUUUAGCAAUUAAGAUAAACAAUCAUAGGAAAACAAGCAUACUCAUUCAUAAUACAAACUGAAAAUAAAUGGAAGAAUAAAUCUUACAGUUCUUGAAAUCUGAAGGUUUUUGCGUCCUUGCAACCAAGAAAACAAGUUUAGUCUUGCAUAUUUAUUAAACAACUACUCCUAAAGAUGGAAGAAAGCAUGAUUUCUGGUUUGUAGAGGGGAGAGUUUGUGUUUCUUCUCUUAUGGCUGUCACCCCUCUUUCUUUUGUUCUACUGCACUUUCUUUUCCUCUCCCACUCAAUAGCAUAAACUUAGCUGCCUAUUUAUACACAAAUUAUAAGUAAGAAAAAUCAAAGUUCAAGUGUGAACAUCAAUAGAAGGUGGUAGUGUGAAGGCGGCUGACAGCUGGUGGCUGGUAGCUAGUGGUUGGUGGUUGUCUUCCUUUACCUUCUGGAUUGAUUUACUAGAGGAGCUAAAUUGCUGAAAUAAAAAAUUGGAUGUCGGUUUGGAUGCUUCGGGAUGUAAUUUGGAUUCGUUUCUUCACGAAACCUGUUUGCUGGCAGAAUUCAGUUGUCAUCUUUGAAAACUCAUAUAUCCCUCAUAUGACAUUUUUUUUUGUUGAAAUUUGGAGCGUUGAUAGGACUUUAAGUCAGAAAUCCAAAAACAUUAAGUUUGCACCAAUUGGAUGUCUACAGCUCCAUAUAUUCAAUUUUGAAUGGACAAAGGUCAACACUGGCAGAAUGCGAGAUUUGACUUUGAAGGCUGCGAUUUCCAUGCUCUUCCUUAUUUUAUUUUUCUUUCCUUACAUUUCCAGAAAGGUAUGGAUGUUAACUUUCUUAUGCCACUGGAAUCACUUCAUUUUGACCUUUAAAACUCACGCUCUGCACAUAACAUCGAUUGAACAUCAAAUCUGUCAAUUACCUUCAAUCUACUCCUUUUUGCAUUUUUCAUCCAAAAGUGCCUUCAAAACAUAAAACAAAGAAUAUCAAGGCAUUUUAUAUGUAUAACAUAGGCAAAAAAAACUAGUUAAAUGUGGGUGAAACUAUCGAAUAAUAUGGUUACAUCAGUGGCUAGUUGUAAUGUCCCAAACAGUAGUCACAACCACAGUAGUGUUAAGAGAAAAGCUACUGAAACCUCCAUACCUCAACCUAAAAAAAAAGGAUCUGGAAUGGGAGCUAUGUUAUUCUCACAUUUAGAUCGACUUGUUGAGAGUGUUUCGAUUGCUACUAAUUAUACAAUGCCUUCAAGAGACAAGAAAGGGUGUAACAUUCAGGAGGUGAUGGAAGAGUUGAAUUCAAUACAUGGUGUUGACUUCGGAAGUCCAAUACACACAUUUGCAACAGAAUUCUUCUAUGCAAGAAGCAAAAAAGGAGAUGUGGAGAUCUUGACAGAAAAUACUCUUGGUUGAAAAUAAUGUAUGAACGACAAUCAAAACAGUAGAAAAAAAAGCUUGUUAGAGGGAAAACAAUGUUAUUGUUGUUUACUGUUGUGUUCUUGAAAGGACCGCAAUGGCAUGAUAACUUCACGUUGAAUGGAAUAGAUCGGGCUGUAAAAUUUUUAUUUUCUGUUAUUGGCAAAGUUUAUAAUGACCUGCUAUUCAGUCCUCUAAUGUGAACGCAAUGUCUUAUAUUGAUAUAUUGUAAUGUUAUUGUAAUGGUUUUAUGUAGUAAUUGUACUGACAUUUGUUAGGCCUAUUAUAACAACAUAUUAUUGGUAAUCUAAUUGAACAAUGAUUACUGUUUUAACAUCAUUUAUGUUGAGAACAAGUCUCGAAUUAAGUUGCAAUUCAUGUAAAUUGUCAUAAUCUACCGAAAUUGGUUUUGUUUGUUC